CCAAACUCAAAGACCAUGACCACACUAAUAUCCGCUGGUGUGGUUAUUAUGCAAUGAAAACUACAAAUACAUAUGGACCAAAAGCCUACUAAAACUUGAAGAAAAUAAUAAAUUAAAGAAAUUCCAAGCUUUACCAUAAACAGCUGUAACUUAAAUCUUAAAUCCCUUGGACACACUUUACAGGAGGAAGUCAAUGGGAUGAAGCCAGAGCAGAAGAUGACUGAGCAGAAAUUAACAAAGUACAUCAGUCCCAGCAUGUCCUUGAGGAGUACCUGGAACAACUAAUCUCGGGAGUCUGUGCUUCCUCUAGAGUACCAGUCAUACUUUGAGACAAAAAAAAAAGACAGGACCGAGAGGAGGAUUUAAAGACUGUGUGGGAGGCGUGGUCAGAGCAACAAUAACAAUGACCAGUCUUUGUUAGAUGCCUACUGCUCCUCAGGCAGUAAUCCCAUUGAAUACACCUCCUCAAACACAGGCCCACAUGUGAUGAAGACAGGAUUCUAAGGUUUGGCACUUCUUCAAAUUGGAUUAGUUGGAGGAUGUUUCAAAGUUGGAAAGUUAUGUGUGUUACCCUUGGCACUGGAUGAUUGCAACAGUAAGUGGCAACUGGGAUAUUUCUCCAGAGCUUCUACAACAACAAAUUGAGAGUUUCACAAGCACCUGGGGCCCAGCAGACGUUGGGAAGCCUAUUCUGGGACUCGCCUCCAUCUAAAUGAUUUGAAAAUUCAGCUCCUGAACACAGCCAGAUUGCUGUCAGCAAUUCGAAUAAGUUUUAACAACACUGGAUCCACCUCAAGAGAAUAAUGAGGAAGAGAGGAGAAGGAAAAAAGGCAAGCAGGCAGGGAAGGACAGAGGAAAGAAAAAGAAAGAUUGUUUUGGUAGAAACUGGAAGUGAGCGAUGAGAAACAGCUUUAGUCACCUCGGAACAGGAAGGCUACUCUUAGAGAAGACACACAGAUCUCUGAGAGCUUUAACCAAAAACAGGCUGAAUUCAAGCACUUCAAUAGAGAAAUUCUCCAUCACAGAAUAAAAUAUUUGUUUACUACACUGGAUAGAGAUGACGUAGCUAACAUUUGUCAUUUCCAGAAACCUUGUUUACAUUUGGGAAAUUCCCCACAUUAAUGGUCCUGGUGGGAGACAGGACCAAAUUCCAGAGAGGUGCUGAAAAUAC
Molecule: long non-coding RNA, 1171 nt
Filed under: Homo sapiens (human)
Lineage: Eukaryota; Metazoa; Chordata; Mammalia; Primates; Hominidae
Description: HSALNT0329289
Source: RNAcentral